GCCCAAGAGACUGGGAUAACACCUGGAAACAGAUGCUAAUACCGGAUAACAACACUAGACGCAUGUCUAGAGUUUAAAAGAUGGUUCUGCUAUCACUCUUGGAUGGACCUGCGGUGCAUUAGCUAGUUGGUAAGGUAACGGCUUACCAAGGCAAUGAUGCAUAGCCGAGUUGAGAGACUGAUCGGCCACAUUGGGACUGAGACACGGCCCAAACUCCUACGGGAGGCAGCAG
Molecule: ribosomal RNA, 232 nt
Filed under: uncultured bacterium
Lineage: Bacteria
Description: partial 16S ribosomal RNA
Rfam family: Bacterial small subunit ribosomal RNA
Source: RNAcentral